This is a long non-coding RNA of Cyprinus carpio carpio, 1042 nucleotides long. NCBI's taxonomy places the organism in Eukaryota, Metazoa, Chordata, Actinopteri, Cypriniformes, Cyprinidae. The record is from Ensembl.
AAAUAAACUGCCUCCGACAUUCCUCUCUAAAAGUCAGAGAUAAGGUAAGGUAAAUUUUAUUGUUCCACAUGUGGGGAAAUUUGUCUUGGGCCAUCACCCAUGCUGCAGUCAGCUCACAAAAGCAGCACGAGGUAGCCUGGGUCGCAACAGAGCAGCGCCACAGGAAGCCAAAAGAUCACCAAAAUAAGAACAGGACCUCAGUGAAAACAACUGAAAAAGUAUUUCAUGUUCGGAUUUCUUAUGAUAAAAUGAGUAAAUGUCUGAUCUCACUAUUGAGGACACAAAAAAAUCAGGAAAUAUGAGAGUUCAAGAUCAGAAAGAGGAUAUCCAGCACCUUACUCCCAUUAGUGAAGAAACCCAGAAUCCAGGAGCAACCAAGAACCACACACUGAGCCACCUUCAGGACCCAGCACAACGCAACCACGUAUCCAAUUACGCACAGGACUCCAGUUAUAAAGGGCAAAGGUCAACAGCGCCAAACUGAAGAACAUCAGUCCCACGAUCACACACACCCAAAUCACCAGAUCCAUCUCUGGUUUCCACAAGCAAGUAGGUAUCGCUGCAGCCCGGAGACCUCCAAGUGGGAGGAGCUUUUGCCGCAAGUGGGCUGGACUUCACGGAGACCUCCAAGUGGGAGGAACUUUUGCCUCAAGUGGGCGGGCCUUUACAAAUGGGCGGGGUUUAAGCAGAAAUCUCACAUUGCGUUAUUGCCAGGGUGCGCGCGAAUGAGGAUGGCAUGAAGUAGCGAUACUAACGAAAAACAGAUUUAGUGUUUUUCAUUGUAGUUUAAAUUUUAUUUAUUACCAAGAGGUUGGAAUAUAAUUUUGUGACAACUGCGAACAUUCAAGUAUAUUGCAUGAUAUUAAUUUUAUAAUUAUAUCAGUAUCAAGAAAAUGAAUGUGUAAUUUAGAGCAAUAAAAUGUUUACUGUAUGUUGUUUGUCUUUAAUGCUUGUCUUUAAUGCAAGUUUGAAAUCUGAGGGUGAAUUAUAUUGUUUAGAUUGUUACAACCACCUGGCUCUAGCUGAAGCAACAUUACAAAAG